CUGAACGCUGGCGGCGUGGCUAAGACAUGCAAGUCGUACGGAUGUAGCAAUACAUCAGUGGCGAACGGGUGAGUAAUGUAUCGCUAAUGUGCCCUGGAAUCUGGGAUAGCUAUCCGAAAGGGUAGGUAAUACCAGAUGAUAUAACUUUGUCGCAUGGCAGAGUUCUCAAAGGAGUAAUCCGCUCUGGGAGCAGGCGAUAUCGUAUCAGCUAGUUGGUGAGGUAACGGCUCACCAAGGCGACGACGCGUAGCCGGACUGAGAGGUUGGCCGGCCACAUUGGGACUGAGACACUGCCCAGACUCCUACGGGGGGCUGCAGUAACGAAUCUUCCGCAAUGCACGAAAGUGUGACGGAGCGACGCCGCGUGUGGGACGAAGCCCUUCGGGGUGUAAACCACUGUCAGGGGUUAGAAAGUUCUGAUCAACCCCAGAGGAAGGCACGGCUAACUCUGUGCCAGCAGCCGCGGUAAGACAGAGGUGCCAAGCGUUAGGCGGAAUCACUGGGCUUAAAGCGUGUGUAGGCGGACUUCUAAGUACCUUGUGAAAUCCCACGGCUCAACCGUGGAACUGCUGGGUAUACUGGGA
RNAcentral lists this ribosomal RNA (584 nucleotides) under uncultured bacterium. Its description in RNAcentral is "bacterial SSU rRNA". It matches the Rfam family "Bacterial small subunit ribosomal RNA", at positions 29 to 638 of the family's 1533-position model. The record is from RNAcentral.